CCAUCGAGGAUUUGUGGCAGGUUCGAUCCCAUAGGCCUCUCACAGUGUCCCAUGCCAAAGCAAACUGUCACUCCGAACCACUGCCUGGCUUUACUUGGUGGGCUUACGGCACUGAAGUGGGUUGCACAGUG
Small nucleolar RNA from Echinops telfairi (small Madagascar hedgehog), 131 nucleotides. RefSeq annotates it as small nucleolar RNA SNORA42/SNORA80 family. Lineage: Eukaryota; Metazoa; Chordata; Mammalia; Afrosoricida; Tenrecidae. The record is from RefSeq and is a predicted model, not a curated record. The transcript has a single exon.